AUUUGUAGGGGCUGACUUUGACUUAGCAGAUGCCUUUCGUGAUGGAGGAAAUAACGACCCAGCACCUCUUAAUUCACCCAAGCUGAAGCCAAAUGCGAACCCUGAGCAGCCUGGAUUCAUUGACGAGCCAGCACCACUGAACCCACCCAAACCAAAGCCAAAUCCAAACCCCAAGCAGCCUGAUUCCACCGGGGAUGACUUUGAUUUCACAGAUGUUUCUUCAUGGUGAACGAAACAGGGAGUUGCCUCGAUUCUGAUGUGUUUGCUUCGGUGCUCUGUGUAUUGUAUUCAUCCCACUCUUCAAUUCAUAAACUCUGGAGAUUCUUCAAUUCACUGGGCAAACCAUAUGCCUAAGUCUAUCCUCUGAUGGAGGCUCGUACAUGCAAAAUCCAAUAGCAACCUGGGAAGAUUUCAGUCAAGACCCAAGAGGAGGCUGGCAUCAGGCUCUCGGUCACCGAUCUUCACAUUCAGGUUUCCUGAUGCACUUUGCGACUCUUUGGGCAACCUCUGGACUCCUUGUUCCCAGGGUCCACAUUUAGUUUUAUCUUUACUGCAUUGCUUUUAUGAAAAAGAAUAAAAUUGGAUGAAACAGAUACAGAGUAUUGGUGUCAACCUAAGUAUUGGUGUCAACAAAGAGAUGGUUUGGAUCUGGUUCCCCACCACAUCUUAGGUUGAGUUGGAAUCCCCGGUUUGGAGGUGGCGCCUGGUGGGAGGUGACUGCAUUAUGCGGGUGGUUUCCAUUGAAUGGUUUACCACUGUCCCCCAUGGUGCUGUUGUGGCGGAAGUGAGUUAUCAUCCAAUCUGGUUGUUUAAAGGGUGCAACAACUUCCCCACCCCGUCCUGCUCCUGCUGUGGCCAUGUAAGAUGUGCCUGUUUCCCCUCUGCCUUCCGCCAUGAUUGUAAAUUUCCUGAGGCCUCCCCAGCCGUGCUUCCUGUACUGCCUGUGGAACCGUGAGCC
This 958-nucleotide long non-coding RNA is filed under the name Homo sapiens (human). RNAcentral's name for it is "non-protein coding lnc-RPS4Y1-2:6". Lineage: Eukaryota; Metazoa; Chordata; Mammalia; Primates; Hominidae. The record is from RNAcentral.